GCAUGGGUGGUCGAGCGGUCAAAGGCAACGGGCUGUAAACCCGUCGGGUUAAUUCCCUACGUAGGUUCGAAUCCUACCCCAUGCACCA
This 88-nucleotide transfer RNA is filed under the name Acidobacteriota bacterium. RNAcentral describes it as "Acidobacteria bacterium (activated sludge metagenome) tRNA-Tyr". It matches the Rfam family "tRNA". Rfam says of the family: Transfer RNA (tRNA) molecules are approximately 80 nucleotides in length. RNAcentral also lists the same sequence under 2 other names. The record is from RNAcentral. Lineage: Bacteria; Pseudomonadati; Acidobacteriota.